This 593-nucleotide ribosomal RNA is filed under the name uncultured Rhodocyclaceae bacterium. Its description in RNAcentral is "bacterial SSU rRNA". It matches the Rfam family "Bacterial small subunit ribosomal RNA", at positions 919 to 1511 of the family's 1533-position model. The record is from RNAcentral. Lineage: Bacteria; Pseudomonadati; Pseudomonadota; Betaproteobacteria; Rhodocyclales; Rhodocyclaceae.
ACCCGCACAAGCGGUGGAUGAUGUGGAUUAAUUCGAUGCAACGCGAAAAACCUUACCUACCCUUGACAUGCCAGGAACUUUCCAGAGAUGGAUUGGUGCCCGAAAGGGAGCCUGGACACAGGUGCUGCAUGGCUGUCGUCAGCUCGUGUCGUGAGAUGUUGGGUUAAGUCCCGCAACGAGCGCAACCCUUGUCAUUAAUUGCCAUCAUUCAGUUGGGCACUUUAAUGAGACUGCCGGUGACAAACCGGAGGAAGGUGGGGAUGACGUCAAGUCCUCAUGGCCCUUAUGGGUAGGGCUUCACACGUCAUACAAUGGUCGGUACAGAGGGUUGCCAAGCCGCGAGGUGGAGCCAAUCCCAGAAAGCCGAUCGUAGUCCGGAUCGCAGUCUGCAACUCGACUGCGUGAAGUCGGAAUCGCUAGUAAUCGCGGAUCAGCAUGUCGCGGUGAAUACGUUCCCGGGUCUUGUACACACCGCCCGUCACACCAUGGGAGUGGGUUCUACCAGAAGUAGUUAGCCUAACCGUAAGGAGGGCGAUUACCACGGUAGGAUUCAUGACUGGGGUGAAGUCGUAACAAGGUAACCGUAAGGGCGA